CUACGGGCCGCAGCAGUGGGGAAUAUUGCACAAUGGGCGCAAGCCUGAUGCAGCCAUGCCGCGUGUAUGAAGAAGGCCUUCGGGUUGUAAAGUACUUUCAGCGGGGAGGAAGGGAGUAAAGUUAAUACCUUUGCUCAUUGACGUUACCCGCAGAAGAAGCACCGGCUAACUCCGUGCCAGCAGCCGCGGUAAUACGGAGGGUGCAAGCGUUAAUCGGAAUUACUGGGCGUAAAGCGCACGCAGGCGGUUUGUUAAGUCAGAUGUGAAAUCCCCGGGCUCAACCUGGGAACUGCAUCUGAUGCUGGGAAGCUUGAGUCUCGUAGAGGGGGGUAGAAUUCCAAGUGGAGCGGUGCAAUGCGUAGAGAUCUGGAGGAAUACCGGUGGCGAAGGCGGCCCCCUGGACGAAGACUGACGCUCAGGUGCGAAAGCGUGGGGAGCAAACAGGAUUAGAUACCCUCAGUAGUC
This 465-nucleotide ribosomal RNA is filed under the name uncultured bacterium. RNAcentral's name for it is "partial 16S ribosomal RNA". It matches the Rfam family "Bacterial small subunit ribosomal RNA", at positions 339 to 795 of the family's 1533-position model. The record is from RNAcentral.